ACACUGAGGCGUGACGACGAGGCACUACGGUGCUGAAGCAACAAAUGCCCUGCUUCCAGGAAAAGCCUCUAAGCAUCAGGUAACAUCAAAUCGUACCCCAAACCGACACAGGUGGUCAGGUAGAGAAUACCAAGGCGCUUGAGAGAACUCGGGUGAAGGAACUAGGCAAAAUGGUGCCGUAACUUCGGGAGAAGGCACGCUGACACGUAGGUGAAGUGAUUUACUCAUGGAGCUGAAGUCAGUCGAAGAUACCAGCUGGCUGCAACUGUUUAUUAAAAACACAGCACUGUGCAAACACGAAAGUGGACGUAUACGGUGUGACGCCU
Molecule: ribosomal RNA, 326 nt
Filed under: Salmonella enterica subsp. enterica serovar Enteritidis
Lineage: Bacteria; Pseudomonadati; Pseudomonadota; Gammaproteobacteria; Enterobacterales; Enterobacteriaceae
Description: partial 23S ribosomal RNA
Rfam family: Bacterial large subunit ribosomal RNA
Source: RNAcentral